RNAcentral lists this ribosomal RNA (432 nucleotides) under uncultured bacterium. RNAcentral's name for it is "partial 16S ribosomal RNA". It matches the Rfam family "Bacterial small subunit ribosomal RNA", at positions 29 to 507 of the family's 1533-position model. The record is from RNAcentral.
ACGAACGCUGGCGGCAUGCCUAACACAUGCAAGUCGAACGAAGCCUUCGGGCUUAGUGGCGCACGGGUGCGUAACGCGUGGGAAUCUGCCCCUUGCUUCGGAAUAACAGUUAGAAAUGACUGCUAAUACCGGAUGAAGUCUUCGGACCAAAGAUUUAUCGGCAAGGGAUGAGCCCGCGUAGGAUUAGGUAGUUGGUGGGGUAAAGGCCUACCAAGCCGACGAUCCUUAGCUGGUCUGAGAGGAUGAUCAGCCACACUGGGACUGAGACACGGCCCAGACUCCUACGGGAGGCAGCAGUGGGGAAUAUUGGACAAUGGACGCAAGUCUGAUCCAGCAAUGCCGCGUGAGUGAUGAAGGCCUUAGGGUUGUAAAGCUCUUUUACCAGGGAUGAUAAUGACAGUACCUGGAGAAUAAGCGCCGGCUAACUCCGUG